Molecule: long non-coding RNA, 1994 nt
Organism: Columba livia (rock pigeon)
Lineage: Eukaryota; Metazoa; Chordata; Aves; Columbiformes; Columbidae
Exons: 2
Source: RefSeq, a predicted model, not a curated record
CACGCUCUGCAGAGGGAGGAGCUGCCUCGGAGAUAAAAGGCAGCAGCUCCUCCUCUGUAUCCCACAGCUUCUUGCCCUAUUGUUGCCGAGCCUUCCUACAGGGACAGCCCAUCCCUCUGCAACCUGCCAGGCUCUGCAGUGCUGUCCUGAGGAGACUGGAAGCAGCCAGCCUCCCUCGUCACCCUGCCCAUCAGCUUCCUGGAAAAAGGACAGAAAAGAGAAGCACCUACAGCAGCUGCAGAACAACACCUGAGAAAAUGAGUUGGGUGUACCCUGAAGCCUUGAAACCAGAAGUCAAAUAACACCUAGAAUGUUUUUAUGUCAUGAUUUCCUGGCCUAUUUCAUUAUGUAUGGAAAGCUGACCUGUGGUGUUACUACCUGUGCCUACAGCAAGCAUUCACUGUGUCCUUAUGGAAACUGAAUUGUUAAGGAGCCAUCCGAACAUGAGAGUGUCCUCUGAUGAUGCUGGAUUCUUCCCUGUCUUCUCCUGGGAAUCUAACUGUGAUUGAAAUAUCUGGGAGAAGGAACCCUCUUCCACAAGCAUCUUCAAAAUCAUCAGUUUCAUCCAGGCUUACUAAAAUAGCAUUUUGUAACUAAGUUGGACUUCUGUCUUAACAUUGCAAUUAUUAUUACGGAACAACAUGUGUAUAUUGAUAUACAGAGCCUAUAUUCCAUUUUUUCUCCCAUGCUAACACUUAUAAUUAAUAAGGUUUUUUCCAGGUUGGUAUUAUGAAUGAGAUUGGAUUUGAUGAACAACAAAUAAUACUGAAGCUGAGUGUUACCCAAGUCCAAAACUGAUGUGCAUUUUUUCUUUUAAAUUAUUAAACGUGUGGCUACUAAGUUUCUAAAUUCAUUUCAAUGCAUAUGGCCAUGAACAGUCACAUGAGUUAUACCAAAGCUGACUGUUGUUGCUUCUGUGAAAACGUUUCAUGGGAGAAAAGAGCCAGGUGUGGUUGGUUUGCUGUUGCCAGUCCAAGGUACUGCUGAGCGGAGCCACGAGAGGGCACUGGAAAGGAGGAAAGAGGCAAAACAAGCGCUCCCGGGAAUCAGCAGCCCAGCACACACCAGGAGCUCUGCUCCCUGUAAGUAACUAGAACAAAUGAAGGUCCAACAGGUCACCAGUUCAUUCCUGCAUAAAAGGAAAAGCAAAACUUAAGAGGUCUUCCCAGCCAGGCUCAGAGGGCUGAAGCCUGCCAAGGGAGCAGAGAAGGCUGCUGGUACCCAGAGGAUGUGCUGGGGCACCAGGAGGAACAGGCAGGGACAGCAGAAAGUGGGGCCCUUAGCUGCACAAAUGUGCACAGCUGUCCACAAAGGUCACACGAUCCCACUCUGCCCAAAGGCUACAGAGAGAAAGGGAGGUGGAGGGGGGCUGUAUAAAGCAAUUAGCCUUUCCCCAAAGAUGCGUUUAAUUUCACAAAAGAGUGGGCUGUCUGUGUGAAGAGAGAUCCAGUGGUUCCAGUGUAGGUAAGCAGUAAGAAAAGAAAAAAUAAAAAACAUUUGUCUGAAGACAUCAUGGUUACUUAGCUGAGCUCAAUGCAUUUGAGGAGAUAUUGGUCAGUAUUUCAUGCUGCACUGCAACACAUUCGUGUUCAUGUGAAAAUCAGCUCCUCUGAACCAUGAUUGUCAUUUGUUGGACAAAGUAAAUAAUGAAGGAUGACAGGAUUCAUCUUUUGAUCUUAUUUCUGAUUUUGUCUUUCAAAAUUAACUGAUGUUAACAUUUGCUUAUGUGACAAAUGCAGCCUGUAAAAAGAGAGAAGCCCAUUCCUGCUUUUUUGAUUCCAGAGUUGUAUCUGGGAAUGGAUUUCCAUUUUUCAUUAAUCCCUUAAGAGAUUUGCAGACAGGUAUAUGCUCGGUUGUAUGACAUCAAACAGUACACACAAGAUGAGUGAACCUGACUUGUGGUCUGCCAGCAAACAUUCCGUUCUGUCGAUCCAGUCUGGGUUAAUCCUUACAGGGACAUGCGAUAUUGUAAAUAAAGAGGGUCACUGAACAAA